RNAcentral lists this ribosomal RNA (497 nucleotides) under uncultured bacterium. RNAcentral's name for it is "partial 16S ribosomal RNA". It matches the Rfam family "Bacterial small subunit ribosomal RNA", at positions 28 to 507 of the family's 1533-position model. The record is from RNAcentral.
GAUGAACGCUGGCGGCGUGCCUAAUACAUGCAAGUCGAGCGAACGGACGAGAAGCUUUCUUCUCUUAUGUUAGCGGCGGACGGGUGAGUAACACGUGGAUAACCUACCUAUAAGACUGGGAUAACUUCGGGAAACCGGAGCUAAUACCGGAUGAUAUUUUGAACCGCAUGGUUCAAAAGUGAAAGACGGUCUUGCUGUCACUUAUAGAUGGAUCCGCGCUGCAUUAGCUAGUUGGUAAGGUAAUGGCUUACCAAGGCAACGAUGCAUAGCCGACCUGAGAGGGUGAUCGGCCACACUGGAACUGAGACACGGUCCAGACUCCUACGGGAGGCAGCAGUAGGGAAUCUUCCGCAAUGGGCGAAAGCCUGACGGAGCAACGCCGCGUGAGUGAUGAAGGUCUUCGGAUCGUAAAGCUCUGUUAUUAGGGAAGAACAUAUGUGUAAGUAACUGUGCACAUCUUGACGGUACCUAAUCAGAAAGCCACGGCUAACUACGUG